Molecule: long non-coding RNA, 1713 nt
Organism: Populus nigra (black poplar)
Lineage: Eukaryota; Viridiplantae; Streptophyta; Magnoliopsida; Malpighiales; Salicaceae
Exons: 3
Source: RefSeq, a predicted model, not a curated record
GUAAAAAACAUGUGAUAUUUAUAAAUUGUCUAAUUUUCUAAACAAAGAUUUUUUUUUUUUUUAGUUACAGUUUAUUGUUUUGCAUUGCUAUACAGGAUGCAAAACUGAUGCUGUGGAUUUUGACAUGGAAAGUCUUUUUUCCUUUUCUGUUAAUGUUUGGGUGUUAUUUCAGUGACAGGUUUUGAUGGGUUUUCAGGCGGUGACGAUCGGAUGGAGCGGGGAUCUGGUUUUGAGAAACUUGAGGAUGAGAGGAGAGUGACAAUUGAGUCGUUGUAAAAGAAAGCUCUCAAUACUUGCAGCGCACUUCUUUCCUUCUGUUUUCCACUUGGCCUAUCAUGAUAUAACUAUCUCGAGAAGGAUUUUUUGUAUUUGCAUUAUGGUCUGCAUCUUCCAGUUUCCUACUAAGCCUCUGCUUUCUCUUAUUUGUGUAUUUUUGUAGGCUAGGUUUGCAUGCAUUUCCCUGUGCUUUGCAUCGAGCAGUUGGUGUAGGCUAUGGAUUCCUGCCUGUUCUGGGUUUCACUCCCAUCCAGCGAACUCAAACCUGUUGUUGAUGAUCAAGUUAGCGUGGAAUCUGACGGUGAUCGAUACCAAGAGCAUGCUUUGCCAGAUAGGCAUGUUGAAUGGCCUCCAACAACUAAGAGAAGGGGGAAUCUCAUUGGCAAUCUUGGCAGAAGUAACUGACUCACAAUCCAAAAACUCAACGUGUAAAUUUUCCUUCAGUGCGAUAUUUGAAUUGAUUUGGUUUGAGUUGAUCUAUUUUACUUGGGUCCUUGGGCUUGACAAUCCAUCUUGAGAGCUGGUGCAGUUUGGAAAUAGUGAUUUUAAGUCGGGAAUUAGGACUUGCUCUGUGACUGGUGCCGGAGAAUGUCUUCUGAUAUAGUUCCUAUGCAUAGCUCUUCUGUGCGAGGGAUGCAAGAUGAGUUGCAUGCUGUUUGAAGAAGCACCAUUGCUUGAUUUGCUGGCCUAGACAACCACGACAAAUCAUUUGCUCAGCUGGGUGGAAGCUAUUUCCUGUACUGAGAAACAAAAAAGCCUGACUUGUCAGUUCUGGUUCUCAGACCACAUAUUGCAUUGUUUUUCCUUGACACAGUCGUGUUUUUUUUCUUUAGAAAUCGAUACCGACAUGAUAGAUGUGUUGAAGAACAAAUUUCUCCUGAAGAUGGUUAGGUCUGUUGGCGAGGGUGUCAUGCGCAUGAUGCCCUCUUCUCUUCUGGAACUAUUAACAGAAAUAACGAAGCUAAGAGGACAACCUCCCUAGCUCCUGAAAAAUUGAAAAUAUCAGGGUACUUUGUGUUAAAUAAUAUUUAUUUAAUUUUAUUUAUUAAGGGUAGAACAAUACUUUCAAUUUUAUCUAUAUAUACGUUAUUUGUGUUUAGAUUAAAACAAUGCAUUCAUAAUAUACAGAUUAUUCAGAAUUCUAGUUUUUUUUUGGUAUUUAAUCUCAAUUAUUUUAACAGCAUGCAAAUCUGGACUGGGUGUGAAAUGCAGGGGCAUACUUCUUGACAUUUUGGAAGCUUCAGCAAUGCUUGAUCAUUUAGCUAGCAGACAUUUUUGGCCCUUCCUGUUCUGUAAAUUAUGUCGACAGUGGUGUAAUGAAGAAAGAAGACCUUGCAAUAUUGCAAAUAUCAAUUGUUAACUAAAGUAACCCAAGUUCGAUUUAAUUUAGGUUAAUCGUAGACAAAAGUUCAUGUUGUUGUCUUGUCGCGGAAUGUA